ACCUGCCUUUGCUGUGCAAAGCUCUGCACAUAGAGCAGUGUUUGGCAGGUGAGGGUUAGGAGCUGCCCUUCUUCUCUUUGGGUGGGGAUAGAAAUUUUGCCCUUGUGUUUCUGGUACUAAUAGGAUGGCUAGGGAAUGGCUGAGUUUUGAAGAGUCUGGCCCGGAAGCUGAUUUUCAAGAUUUGGGAUGACCAGCUGCUGGAAGUUACAGUUCAAAGCAGUGUUUCUAGAGCCAACUACUAUUUGCUUUGAUGAUAAAAGAAGAAUAAAAAAGGAUUAAUUUUCUAGG
This is a long non-coding RNA of Dipodomys spectabilis (banner-tailed kangaroo rat), 288 nucleotides long. RefSeq lists it as uncharacterized. The transcript has 3 exons. The record is from RefSeq and is a predicted model, not a curated record. Lineage: Eukaryota; Metazoa; Chordata; Mammalia; Rodentia; Heteromyidae.